GCCUGGGUGGCUCAUUCAGUUGAGCGUCUGACUUCGGCUCAGGUCAUGCUCUCACCAUCUGUGGGUUCGAGCCCCUCAUCGGGCC
RNAcentral lists this transfer RNA (85 nucleotides) under Felis catus (domestic cat). It matches the Rfam family "tRNA". From Rfam's summary of the family: Transfer RNA (tRNA) molecules are approximately 80 nucleotides in length. Their secondary structure includes four short double-helical elements and three loops (D, anti-codon, and T loops). The record is from Rfam by way of RNAcentral. Lineage: Eukaryota; Metazoa; Chordata; Mammalia; Carnivora; Felidae. RNAcentral also lists the same sequence under 2 other names.